AAAAAAAAAUACGUUGAUUAGACCAACCAAUAGAAAAAGAAGAAAAAUUUGUUAAACAAACAUUUAAAAAAGGAAAAUGUUAUUGAACAAAGAAAAAAAUGUGCUUUGCACCUACCAUCGGACCAGCGUGCUGAUUACUCAUGAAUCCGCGAAGUAUUUACUAAUAACCGCCGAAGACACUGGCACCGGCAACGGUCGUACGUUUGUUGACAAUACGUACGGAGCCACCAAGGUGCGUACAAAUUGUAUUAUUUUUAGGUUUUUUUUUUAUUUGUUUAUGAUCGCGUUUAUAAUAGCGAUUGAACGGUUUUGUUUUUGCGUUUGUGUUCCGUGUAGAAAUUUUUCGAAAUUUUGCCGCAAUUUGAACACUCAGUACAGCGGCGGUGGCAAACGGGGCACCAAUUUCACUGUGCAGUAGACCAUAUCCGGUUUAAUGGCCAUUAAAACGAGGAAGAUCGGCCAAAUCUCGUGGCUCGUCCUGUCACAAUCAUCACCGGGUUGUUCUCCCACUCGUCAACGGUGAGGUUUGGUUACGACUGGCUCUUAAACGAUCAUUAAUGUUCAAUAAUAACCUUUCCGCCCGUUUUUGAUAUUUUCAGCUACGAGCGAUGGUCGCGAAGAACACACUAGGCGUACGUGCCAGGGCCAUGCGCAAACAGGCCGAAGAACAGCGAUUGAAAUCCGUGGCCGACAUCACGGCCAAUUAAAACCAACAGCAACAACGCCCCGCACCUCGUCACCGGCUAGCGGUUGAAUCGUUAACAGUUAGUUAUUAAUUUUUUUAUUUUUUCGCAUAAUUAGUUUGAUAAUACUGUAGUCCUAAGUUUUUUUUUUUUUUUCAUUAUUAUUUCACUUGUCUACAGUUUGUGAGUUGUUAGAGAUAUAAUAUUUAGGUUAAGGUUAAGCGGACACUUUUUUCUACGUUUUUUUUUAUUUAUUAUUUUAAACGGUUCUGAAUUUUCAUUUCCAUUGUAGGUUUUCUUAAGAGACACUCUCACAAUAAAUGGUUGAUCUCUGUCGACAGUUGCUUAUGAGCUCAGGUGCAAUGGUAGUGUCGGAAACUCGGGGUUUAAAAUCCCAGUGACAUCAGUUACUUUUUUAUUGCACAUUUCUUUCGUGAUGAAUGGAAUGUGCAAUAAUAUGUAGUAUGGUAUAGGUUUCGUCGGUGUACGUUUUUGCUAAUGCUAGGGUCUACGUUUUUUUUCUUUCUAUUUUUUUUUUUUUUUACAUUUACUGUGAUUGAACGCUUCUUUUCGCAGAAUUAUCACAAAUAAAUUAAUAUUAUUCAGUUGUCGAUCAUUUACCUGCGAAGUAAAAGCACCAUUGAUCAGCAUAAGUUAUUUUCGGUUAUAAGUUAACAAAUAACGAAUCGUCAGAAAUAGUUCGAGGUCUUCGUAAUAAUUUUAAUAUAUUGGAUAUUUUUUUUUUUUUUUUUGGCCAUUGAUGACAAGAAAAAUUACGGAUCUUGCACUCGUAAAUAUUAUUUCUUAUCGGGUAUGUAAUAGAAAAUAAGAAACUUACGGUUUUACCCGUAAAUCACAUGCAAAACUCUCAUGGAUUUUGUAAUUAUUAAUUCCUAGCGGUUAAGUAUUAAAAAUAAGAAAAUUACGGUUGAACACGUAAAAGGACAUCCAUGGAUAAAUAUUAGAUAUCCACGAAAUCGCAAACUGGUUCGCUCCGUCUUCCUAUCGUUUCGUGGAUGNUAUGAUUUUUGAUCACGAUGUGACAUCAUAACAUAAUUAUUUAUAGGUUAAGUCUUUGUAUAUAAUUUUCUUCAAUAAUUGUCACACAGAGACGCGUCACGGUUCUUUCCGUCGUCUCGUUCAGUGGGACGAGGAAAACGUAUGAACCAUUAUAAUUAAAUUUUAAAUUAGUGAUGACGAGAAUGAAAAAUAUCUCGUUUUCAAAUAGUUUUUUUUUCGUUUUUUUUUUUAGUGUUUAAGUUUGAUGUGUUUAAUAACAGUACCAAUUUUUAUGGCAUACAUUUUAUUUUUAUAUAAAAGAUUAUAUAAAAAAAAACUAAAAUUGAAAAAUUAAAAAAAAAAAAAAACAUGUUUCAUGUUAAAAUUGUCACAUACGAUGUUAAUAUUAGAAACCCACUUAAACGACUGCUAACUCACGUUAGCAUGUCUUAAGGGGGCUUUAAGGUUAGGCUAAGUAUAGGUUAAGUUUUGAUUUGGUUUGGUUUUUUUUUUUUUUUUUUUCUAAAUUAUUUCUAUUUAAAUGUAUUGGCAUUACUGUCCUUACCCUUCAUCGAUUAAAUAAUUAUGAAUUUCGAUCGCGAUGUGACAUCUUAAACAUGGCUAUUCGUUAUGAAAACAUAAUUAUUUAUAGGUUAAUUCUUUGUAUAUAAUUUUCUUCACCACCUAUCAAGUCCCACGGAAUACGUCACGGUUCGCUCCGUCGUCUCGUUCUGUGGGAUAGUAACAACAGUUACUAUAGGUAAAUCUAAUUUCACCCAGUCGUGAAAUAUCUAUGAAUAACUAUUAGGUUGGUAUUUGUCAAUAAAAUCAUGCAUAUAAUAUAUCAUGAAUUGAAAAUCCAGAUAAUUUAGGUUAAUUUUGUUGUGUUGCGUGGUUACAGGGUGUUCUACAGCGUUCGAUGGAUUUCUCUUGAUCUGUUAAUAUUCAAUUUGUUUUGAUUUUAGUUUUUUUUUUUUUUUUUUAAUUCGCUUUUCUUUGUGCAGUAAAUAAUUGUUUUAGUAAAAUUAUAUUUUAGUUUUUCUUCCGUGUAUUUCCCUCGCAGAUCAGGUGCUGAUUAUAAGAAUUUAAUUUUUCUGGAAAUAUAUGGGAAACUCUCAUAGGAAACUUCGGUUUGAAAAAUAGUCAUUCUUGUUUUUUUGAACAAGUAGAACAUUAACAGCUCUUGAAAAAUCCGUCGGACGCAGCGGAAUUCCCCGUACACCGUAAUACAAUUUAGGUUAUCGAUAUAGGUUUAAUUGUACCGUGAUACGCAGCAUCCUAUCACGGUACCACAAUAUGACACUUUUGCAAUUGUUGGUCACUACCCGCGAUUUAUACGCAGUUUUGAUCAACCGAUAGGCUAAGCAUAUUUUGGUUGGUUUUUUUUUUUUCUAAAUUUUUCUAUCCUAACGUAUG
This 3098-nucleotide long non-coding RNA is filed under the name Cinara cedri. Lineage: Eukaryota; Metazoa; Arthropoda; Insecta; Hemiptera; Aphididae. The record is from RNAcentral.